CCUACGGGAGGCUGCAGUGAGGAAUAUUGGUCAAUGGACGAGAGUCUGAACCAGCCAAGUAGCGUGAAGGAUGACUGCCCUAUGGGUUGUAAACUUCUUUUAUAUGGGAAUAAAAUGUUCCACGUGUGGGAUUUUGUAUGUACCAUAUGAAUAAGGAUCGGCUAACUCCGUGCCAGCAGCCGCGGUAAUACGGAGGAUCCGAGCGUUAUCCGGAUUUAUUGGGUUUAAAGGGAGCGUAGGUGGAUUGUUAAGUCAGUUGUGAAAGUUUGCGGCUCAACCGUAAAAUUGCAGUUGAAACUGGCAGUCUUGAGUACAGUAGAGGUGGGCGGAAUUCGAGGUGUAGCGGUGAAAUGCUUAGAGAUCACGAAGAACUCCGAUUGCGAAGGCAGUUCACUGGACUGCAACUGACACUGAGGCUCGAAAGUGUGGGUAUCAAACAGGAUUAGAUACCCGAGUAGUC
Molecule: ribosomal RNA, 460 nt
Filed under: uncultured bacterium
Lineage: Bacteria
Description: partial 16S ribosomal RNA
Rfam family: Bacterial small subunit ribosomal RNA
Source: RNAcentral